AGUCAGUGUGAAUAGUGCGGGUCGGCCCAUGAUCCAUGAUCCAAAGCAAUCAAAAUCCCAAACCUCUCUCGAAGCUAUCCACAGCACCACUCGUCGCUCCACCACUACUGGAAACAAGGCCGAUGAGCUUCCUUCUCUUUCUUCCUCUUCCAAAGCCUGACUCUCAUCGCUCCGAAACCCAACCAUGGCGAUUGGAUUCAGUUGAUGAGGAGGAGGAAGAGGUGGUUGGGCCGCCGAGACCACCGCCGGGGCUGAGUUUCGGUGAUUCGGAUUCAGAGGAAGAAGAAAAAGAGAAUCGGUAUCGGAUUCCGCUUAGUAAUGAGAUUGUGCUCAAAGCCCACACCAAGUUUUACCAGAUUUGAGUCAGAAAUCACACACACGCAGCUAGCCCUUUUCUUCAACAUGCAGUGGUAUGAACUUGCAAGGAUGAUAUGAUUACAAAAUCACUUCUUUUGGUCUAAUGUUACAGCCGUGGUUGAUAUACAGUACUAAUCUGUUAUGAUCUAAAAAAUAUGCUAGCAAUUUAUGCAACGAAUCUAAACACCACUCGCUACCAAAACUCUGAAUUGUCUCUUCAACUGAUCUUUGCCAGUUUACUGUGUAUAAUACAUCGCUGAGUGGCACUGUUUUUUUUUUAAAAAAAAAAUUAAAAAAAAAAAAGGGUUUCUGAUGUACAGUUUCAUCUGUUUACCUAACCAUGAAAAUAAUGAAAUUAAAAGCAUUUGGGACUCUUUCAUAUUAGAUUUUCCUGCUACCUUUGUUUCACCCUCUCUGUGUUUCUCUGUAUGUGUUUGCAUGCAAGUCAGCGUAUGUGUGUUUUAGGUUCUUAUUGUUUCGUCCGUAUUUUUAAAAGUUAAUACCGAACAAUAUAUGGUCAAUUCAACCAAACAUAAUUUAGUAUUACAAAUAAAUGAAGAUUGACCCUUUAAAAUGGUCGUAAUGAGAUAUACAGACAUGUAUGUUUUUCAUGUCUGUUCCCUUCUGCUAACAGAUCUUGAAAGUGUAUUAUCUUCAUUUCUCUUAUAAUUAUCCUUGUUUGCAUUGUUUUUGGAGUUUCAAAAAUCCAUAGAGAUAAACUGUAAAAUUCCUAUGAUAAAUAGAAAUACAAUGUAAUUGAUGCAUGUUAAAUAUUAGAUUUAAAUGUAAGCAAACUUAUUAAGAGCUCAUUGUCACCACCACCAUCUUAUGGUUAGUUGGAAUAGACACCAAAUGGUCAUUCAAUGGUAUGUGUAGGUUCGUUUUUUUUCCCUUAAUUUUAAAUGUUAAUAAGCAUAUCCAUGUCUAAUAUGUGUUAGUGAUGGGGUCAUCAAUGAGCUCUAACUCAAAUGACCUCCUCCUCUUGUAAAAGCAAAGUGGGGAGUGAGGUUGUGGAUUCAAAACAAAUUGCAUACAUAUGUAACUUACCAGUAAUACACACAUACAAACACACACAUCAGUGAUAGGUUCUUUAUACAUCACAUUGAGAUGAAUACAUAAUAUAUACAUAUAAUAGAUGGAAAUUGGAAGGUUGCUACUAACACCCUAGCAAAUAUUUAGACCGCAAAUUACAAAUAUUACGACUUAAUCACUUUUAACCUAAACUAGCAUUUACAUCAAAUGUAAGUGAUUAUCCAAUUUCAUAUAGAGCAAUAUGAAAUGCAGAAUAAAAAUGCAAACCACACUAAAAACACCAAAUGUAUUUUCAAAGAGGAAACCCCAACCACCCAGGCAGAAAACCCUCUUCGCAAAACCAUUGUCAAAUUUCCUCUAAUAAAUAGUUGUAGUACAACGUUACAAUAAAGACCCUCUAAGCCUAAGCUACCUAAAAUACUCAAGCCCUCCCAGCUUCUACUAACAACUGACUUCGUCAUGUACUUUGUUCACCUAGUCUUCGGAGUCCACGGGUUUAGUGGCCAACGGUAAACCGAGUCCUCUUGGGUUUGUGUUUUUGCUUCAAAUGUUUUCUACACCAAUCAACUCUCUAACACUCAAAUAUGUUGAAGAAUGUGAUGGUUAAAAUCUCCUUUCUAAGAUACGUCAAUGGUAAGAGGAAAAGAGAAGAGAGAAUGAAGCCUCGUUGCUCUGUUUCCCACAUCCUACUUCCAGAAUGUGCAAGUCUUGGAUUAUAUGACUGAGCUGGCCAAGAUAAAAAUUAAUGUGCUGGAAUUCUUUCUCUGAGCUAGUUGCAAGUAAGUCAUGAGUUGCACAGUAAAAAAGAUUCCUCUUUUAUCUGCAGCGUGUCUAUGUCGCGAUCAGGCAGGCUGCAAGUUCUUCUUUCUAGCAUCUUUAUCCAACACUUAAGUACAUCUACGAAUUUGAACAUAGGAAUAGAAAAUUUCUCUGGAGGAAGUAAAUACAAAAUAGUUUGUCACAAUUUUACAUGGGUGUUCUCAUCUUCUGAGUGUUUUGACCCUGCAUCUUUCCUGACUUCUAUUAUAGAUAUGUAUCCACUCUCUCUCUUUUCAUCGUUUGUAAUUCUUUACUAUAUUUGCAUGUAUAAAAGAAAAGAAAGAAAAAAAUAUAACUA
Molecule: RNA transcript, 2506 nt
Organism: Quercus robur (English oak)
Lineage: Eukaryota; Viridiplantae; Streptophyta; Magnoliopsida; Fagales; Fagaceae
Exons: 2
Source: RefSeq, a predicted model, not a curated record